CAAUGUACCAUAUAACAAAGGAGAGGCUGGGAUUAAGUUUUGGGUUAAUUGCCCAAAAUAUGUAGGAAUUAAGGGCCAAAAAAGGGCCAAAAAGAAGCAUGUUUCUUGUUUCCAAACAAUCAUGACAAUAACUUGUGUUUAAGUGUAUGGAUCUCUCUGAAAUCGUACUACAAGGUUCAAUAUUACAAAGGAAAGCAUGAGAUUGAGUU
Molecule: long non-coding RNA, 209 nt
Filed under: Mytilus galloprovincialis (Mediterranean mussel)
Lineage: Eukaryota; Metazoa; Mollusca; Bivalvia; Mytilida; Mytilidae
Source: RNAcentral